This 378-nucleotide ribosomal RNA is filed under the name uncultured eukaryote. Its description in RNAcentral is "partial 18S ribosomal RNA". It matches the Rfam family "Eukaryotic small subunit ribosomal RNA", at positions 592 to 976 of the family's 1831-position model. The record is from RNAcentral.
CAAUAGCGUAUAUUAAAGUUGUUGCAGUUAAAAAGCUCGUAGUUGGAUUUGUGGUUCGUCCCGCCGGCUGAGUCAGUGACUUUUGCUGUGCUGGUCGUCCAUCCUUGGGUGGAAUCUGUGUGGCAUUAGGUUGUCGCGCAGGGGAUGCCCAUCGUUUACUGUGAAAAAAUUAGAGUGUUCAAAGCAGGCUUAUGCCGUUGAAUAUAUUAGCAUGGAAUAAUGAUAUAGGACCUUGGUACUAUUUUGUUGGUUUGCGCACUGAGGUAAUGAUUAAUAGGGACAGUUGGGGGUAUUCGUAUUCCAUUGUAAGAGGUGAAAUUCUUGGAUUUUUGGAAGACGAACUACUGCGAAAGCAUUUACCAAGGAUGUUUNCAUUAA